AUGCCCAAAGGAAAGAAGGCCAAGGGGAAGAAGGUGGCCCCAGUUCCCACUGUCAUCAAGAAACAGGAGGCCAAAAAGGUGGUCAAUCCUUUGUUUGAGAAAAGGCCCAAGAACUUCGCCAUUGAGAAGGACAUCCAGCCCAAAAGAGAUCUAACACGCUUCGUCAAAUGGCCCUGCUACAUCAGGCUGCAGUAGAAAAGAGCCAUCCUUUAUAAGCGGCUCAAAGUAUCUCCUGCCAUUAACCAGUUCACCCAGGCCCUGGACAGGCAAACAGCUACUCAGCUGCUUAAGCUUGCUCACAAGAACAGGCGAAAGACAAAGCAAGAGAAGAAGCAAAGGCUGCUGAGAAGAAAGCUGCAGGCAAAGGGGAUGUCCCAACUAAAAGACCACCUGUCCUCCGAGCAAGAGUCAAUACAGUCACCAUCUUGGUGGAGAACAAGAAGGCUCAGCUGGUGGUGAUUGACCAUGAUGUAGACCCUAUUGAGCUGGUAGAUUUCCUGUCUGUCUGUCAUGUGUCUAAAGAUGGGGGUGCCUUUCUGUAUCAUCACAGGAAAGGCCAGGCUGGUGUGCCUGGUCCAUAGGAAGACAUGCACCACUGUUGUCUUCACACAGGUUAACUUGGAAGACAGGGGUGCUUUAGAUAAGCUGGUAGAAUCUAUUAGGACCAAUUAUAAUGACAGAUAUGAUGAGAUCAGUCGCCACUGGGGAGGCAACGUCCUGGGUCUUAAGUCUGUGGCUUGAAUUGCAAAGCUGGAAAAAGCAAAGGCUAAAGAACUCUCCGCUACACCGGGUUAA
This 795-nucleotide long non-coding RNA is filed under the name Mus musculus (house mouse). Its description in RNAcentral is "long non-coding RNA chr4:39767617-39768412". Lineage: Eukaryota; Metazoa; Chordata; Mammalia; Rodentia; Muridae. The record is from RNAcentral.